Molecule: long non-coding RNA, 159 nt
Organism: Sapajus apella (tufted capuchin)
Lineage: Eukaryota; Metazoa; Chordata; Mammalia; Primates; Cebidae
Exons: 3
Source: RefSeq, a predicted model, not a curated record
GGUUUUUUAUUAACUUUGGCCAGGUUGUUAAAACCAGGUAUCUAAAUCCAGCUCAAUAAAGGACUAUUUCAGUAACCCCAGGCUGUGGAAUCAACAGAGAAAACACCCAGUAGGAUUAAGGGCCUGGGCCCAGGACAUGGAAUAGGGGGUAAAACUGCG